GGCCGGCCAGGUAAACCCCGCCCGGAGCAAGACCAAAUAGGAGGACGUUUAACGGCGGCUCGCCCAGUCCUCGGGUAUCGGUCGCUAGAGGCGCCGGGCAACCGGCGUCCCAGACAGAUGGUCACCGUCCCGCAAGGGAUACAGAACCCGGCUUACAGUCCGCCCUCGGCC
Molecule: RNase P RNA, 171 nt
Filed under: Chloroflexota bacterium
Lineage: Bacteria; Bacillati; Chloroflexota
Description: Chloroflexi bacterium partial RNase P RNA component class A
Rfam family: Bacterial RNase P class A
About the family: Ribonuclease P (RNase P) is a ubiquitous endoribonuclease, found in archaea, bacteria and eukarya as well as chloroplasts and mitochondria. Its best characterised activity is the generation of mature 5'-ends of tRNAs by cleaving the 5'-leader elements of precursor-tRNAs.
Source: RNAcentral